Molecule: transfer RNA, 72 nt
Filed under: Mormyrops anguilloides (Cornish jack)
Lineage: Eukaryota; Metazoa; Chordata; Actinopteri; Osteoglossiformes; Mormyridae
Description: tRNA-Ile
Rfam family: tRNA
About the family: Transfer RNA (tRNA) molecules are approximately 80 nucleotides in length. Their secondary structure includes four short double-helical elements and three loops (D, anti-codon, and T loops).
Source: RNAcentral
GGAAGCGUGCCCGAAUGCCCAAGGACCACUUUGAUAGAGUGAACAAUAGGGGUUCAAGUCCCCUCGCUUCCU